Molecule: non-coding RNA, 585 nt
Organism: Lepisosteus oculatus (spotted gar)
Lineage: Eukaryota; Metazoa; Chordata; Actinopteri; Semionotiformes; Lepisosteidae
Source: RefSeq, a predicted model, not a curated record
CCCUCCGUCUGGGUCUGUCUCCCAUGAGGAGACAGAGGGGCUGCUGCUCUGAGUCUGUUCUUCACCAGACUGUUCUUCCACAGGUCCAGCGAGCCGCACUGUCACUGUCCCAGAGGGAGGAUCUGUAAUCCUGAUCUGUGCUGUGAGAAAGCCUCCCUCAGUCGGUCAGCAAUUAGAGUGGACAGUCUUCAAGGGAGAUGGUAUCUCCUUUGUGGUGUCCAGACAGCAGGAUGGACAAGUGAGUAAAGGCAUUAAUGAUCCACAGCACAGAUUCUCUCUGCUUGACGAUUCCUCCCUCCGGAUAACAAAUAUACAACCUGGAGACGCUGGCCAGUACAGGUGUAACUGGCAGCCUGCUGCGGUUCUACAGGUGACAGCAGGGGACUCCAAGAUUACUGAAGCCCCCGGCACUGGGAGCCCCAGUCCAGGGGACCCCAAGACGGCUGAAGCCCCCAGCACUGAGAGCCCCAGUCCAGGUACUGAAACCCCGACUGUCCCACUGACCAUCAAAGACCUCUCUGCCCCUCCAUGACCUCACUGGUCCUGCGGCUGAUGGUCACCUCAGGGAACAGGGUGACCAGCUGG